AUUGAUAAGAGAUUGAUGGACUUUCCAUAUUUUUGAAAUCAGUUUCCUUCCAAUCUUAAUUGCAAUCACAAUAACCACGCUCUUUGUAAUAGGCCAUUCAGAAAACCCUAAAUCUCAAACACAAAAAUUAUCAUCAGAUCCCAAGAUUUCUUCAUCUUCAAUCGCGAUCGAAAGCAACCAGUUUUUAUGGAGAAAUUGAUUGAAAACCAAAUUGAAUGCCGAAGACGAGUUGCAGUGAUCAGAGCUCUUAAAUCGUUUGAUAUCGGUGCUUUCAAAACUAGAAGAUUAUAUGGUUUUGCUAUUCUUAGAUGAACACAAACGGAUCAAUUUUACUGUCAUCUGCUCUGCUGCAUCUUUUGUUAUUGACUGCGAUGUUACAGGGAUCUUCAUACUCGAUAUUGU
Molecule: long non-coding RNA, 402 nt
Organism: Helianthus annuus (common sunflower)
Lineage: Eukaryota; Viridiplantae; Streptophyta; Magnoliopsida; Asterales; Asteraceae
Exons: 3
Source: RefSeq, a predicted model, not a curated record